RNAcentral lists this ribosomal RNA (537 nucleotides) under uncultured bacterium. Its description in RNAcentral is "partial 16S ribosomal RNA". It matches the Rfam family "Bacterial small subunit ribosomal RNA", at positions 355 to 908 of the family's 1533-position model. The record is from RNAcentral.
UGGGGAAUAUUGCACAAUGGGCGAAAGCCUGAUGCAGCAACGCCGCGUGAGUGAUGAAGGUCUUCGGAUUGUAAAGCUCUGUCUUUUGGGACGAUAAUGACGGUACCAAAGGAGGAAGCCACGGCUAACUACGUGCCAGCAGCCGCGGUAAUACGUAGGUGGCGAGCGUUGUCCGGAUUUACUGGGCGUAAAGGGUGCGUAGGCGGAUGUUUAAGUGAGAUGUGAAAUACCCGGGCUUAACCUGGGUGCUGCAUUUCAAACUGGAUAUCUAGAGUGCAGGAGAGGAGAAUGGAAUUCCUAGUGUAGCGGUGAAAUGCGUAGAGAUUAGGAAGAACACCAGUGGCGAAGGCGAUUCUCUGGACUGUAACUGACGCUGAGGCACGAAAGCGUGGGUAGCAAACAGGAUUAGAUACCCUGGUAGUCCACGCCGUAAACGAUGAGUACUAGGUGUAGGAGGUAUCGACCUCUUCUGUGCCGCAGUAAACACAUUAAGUACUCCGCCUGGGAAGUACGAUCGCAAGAUUAAAACUCUAAAGU